Molecule: long non-coding RNA, 641 nt
Organism: Dendroctonus ponderosae (mountain pine beetle)
Lineage: Eukaryota; Metazoa; Arthropoda; Insecta; Coleoptera; Curculionidae
Exons: 2
Source: RefSeq, a predicted model, not a curated record
UUUGCUUUUGCAUUGUUGUAGACGCUUUUGCUUAAAAAAUAAAUAGAAAACCAUUCUUUAAGCCAUUUAAUACUAGCGGGUCUUUGGAAAAUUAACCUUUACGGUUGAAUAAUUCCCUCAAUGGUGCAAAUCCAAUUCCAAUCAAAAAUUUCAUAAAAAAUUAAAACAGCGAAUCUAUCAAACUACAAUUAGAAAAGUUGCUUAAACUGACCAAUACAUUUUAGACAGGCGCUUAAACAGGUUCAAUGGUUCCUUGUAACAUAGGAAACUUUCAAGUGUUUAUAUUAAUAUUAUGUGACUAAUUCUCAAUAAUGUUGAAAAUGUCAUUCAUCAUUUUCACAUGUCAGCAGUUUAGUUAUCAAUGGCAAGUAAAUUAGACACAAAUCUAGCUAUAUCAUUAAUUAUACUGAUCUUUUUAUGCAUAGGAGUGUUGCUUUCAAUGAUACUUUAUUACAUCUCACCAUGUAGAAGCGAAUCUGAGGAGGAUUUUGUCAUAAAACAGUAUGAUAAAGAUCAAGUCCUAGCAAGAAUAAAUGGCGUAAUAUCUGAAGGUAGAUGGAGAUAGACCGAUGGCUAUACAAAUUUUCCAAAGUUGUUGCUGUAUUUAGGUUGUUCUAGAUAAUAAACGAUCACUUUCUUCA